RNAcentral lists this ribosomal RNA (868 nucleotides) under Pseudomonas sp. ALI-INI4. Its description in RNAcentral is "bacterial SSU rRNA". It matches the Rfam family "Bacterial small subunit ribosomal RNA", at positions 60 to 922 of the family's 1533-position model. Lineage: Bacteria; Pseudomonadati; Pseudomonadota; Gammaproteobacteria; Pseudomonadales; Pseudomonadaceae. The record is from RNAcentral.
AGUCGAGCGGUAGAGAGAAGCUUGCUUCUCUUGAGAGCGGCGGACGGGUGAGUAAUGCCUAGGAAUCUGCCUGGUAGUGGGGGAUAACGUUCGGAAACGGACGCUAAUACCGCAUACGUCCUACGGGAGAAAGCAGGGGACCUUCGGGCCUUGCGCUAUCAGAUGAGCCUAGGUCGGAUUAGCUAGUUGGUGGGGUAAUGGCUCACCAAGGCGACGAUCCGUAACUGGUCUGAGAGGAUGAUCAGUCACACUGGAACUGAGACACGGUCCAGACUCCUACGGGAGGCAGCAGUGGGGAAUAUUGGACAAUGGGCGAAAGCCUGAUCCAGCCAUGCCGCGUGUGUGAAGAAGGUCUUCGGAUUGUAAAGCACUUUAAGUUGGGAGGAAGGGUUGUAGAUUAAUACUCUGCAAUUUUGACGUUACCGACAGAAUAAGCACCGGCUAACUCUGUGCCAGCAGCCGCGGUAAUACAGAGGGUGCAAGCGUUAAUCGGAAUUACUGGGCGUAAAGCGCGCGUAGGUGGUUAGUUAAGUUGGAUGUGAAAUCCCCGGGCUCAACCUGGGAACUGCAUUCAAAACUGACUGACUAGAGUAUGGUAGAGGGUGGUGGAAUUUCCUGUGUAGCGGUGAAAUGCGUAGAUAUAGGAAGGAACACCAGUGGCGAAGGCGACCACCUGGACUGAUACUGACACUGAGGUGCGAAAGCGUGGGGAGCAAACAGGAUUAGAUACCCUGGUAGUCCACGCCGUAAACGAUGUCAACUAGCCGUUGGGAGCCUUGAGCUCUUAGUGGCGCAGCUAACGCAUUAAGUUGACCGCCUGGGGGAGUACGGCCGCAAGGUUAAAACUCAAAUGAAUUGACGGGGCCCC